Molecule: ribosomal RNA, 427 nt
Filed under: uncultured bacterium
Lineage: Bacteria
Description: partial 16S ribosomal RNA
Rfam family: Bacterial small subunit ribosomal RNA
Source: RNAcentral
GUGGGGAAUAUUGGGCAAUGGGGGAAACCCUGACCCAGCAACGCCGCGUGAAGGAAGAAGGCUUUCGGGUUGUAAACUUCUUUUAUGAGGGACGAAGAAGUGACGGUACCUCAUGAAUAAGCCACGGCUAACUACGUGCCAGCAGCCGCGGUAAUACGUAGGUGGCAAGCGUUGUCCGGAUUUACUGGGUGUAAAGGGCGCGUAGGCGGGAUAGCAAGUCAGGUGUGAAAUCCGGGGGCUUAACCCUCGAACUGCACUUGAAACUGUUAUUCUUGAGUGAUGGAGAGGCAAGCGGAAUUCCUAGUGUAGCGGUGAAAUGCGUAGAUAUUAGGAGGAACACCAGUGGCGAAGGCGGCUUGCUGGACAUUAACUGACGCUGAGGCGCGAAAGCGUGGGGAGCAAACAGGAUUAGAAACCCCUGUAGUCC